Molecule: ribosomal RNA, 253 nt
Filed under: uncultured bacterium
Lineage: Bacteria
Description: partial 16S ribosomal RNA
Rfam family: Bacterial small subunit ribosomal RNA
Source: RNAcentral
UACGUAGGGGGCGAGCGUUAUCCGGAUUUACGGGGCGUAAAGCGCGUUAAGGCGGCCGACAAAGUUGGUGGUGAAAUUUCAGGGCUCAACUCUGAAACUGCCUCCAAUACUGGUCGGCUUGAGUGCGAUAGAGGAAGGUGGAAUUCCCGGUGUAGUAGUGAAAUGCGUAGAUAUCGGGAGGAACACCAGUGGCGAAGGCGGCCUUCUGGCUCGCAACUGACGCUGUAGCGCGAAAGCGUGGGGAGCGAACGGG